Long non-coding RNA from Serinus canaria (Common canary), 5342 nucleotides. RefSeq lists it as uncharacterized. The record is from RefSeq and is a predicted model, not a curated record. The transcript is spliced from 8 exons. NCBI's taxonomy places the organism in Eukaryota, Metazoa, Chordata, Aves, Passeriformes, Fringillidae.
GGGGUAGAGAGGGAAGGAGGGAGGGAGAGGGAGAGAGAGGGAAAUGUCACCCGGAGCCCGGGCCCGCGGGGGAGAGGUGGCGCGUUAGAGAUGUGUGUGGGAGAGAGGGAGCGAGAGAGAGAGAGAGAGAGAGAGGGGGAGCGAGACCUCCGCUGGCCCCGCGAACUUGUCAAGUACAAAACACCCAGCUUUUCGGCUCAAAAAGCCUAGACCAUCAUGGCUACGAAAACUGCUGCUCAGUAUAUGUAAUUCUGGAGCUCCUUAAGGAAAAAAGUUGUGUGACGCAACAUCAGAACAGUGGCCAAGUGAUCUUCUCCACAGCAGCCAUGAACUUCAAGCUUGAACCGAAGAAGACUCAUCAAAUGCCUUAGGAAAGCUAGUAUGGAGUUUGAAGAGAAGCACAGAUCUCCAUGAAGAGCAGUCAGUUAUAGUCAUGGUCGGCAUGCUUGGUUGGUCUGACAGUCGACAGGUGUAGCUCAGACCUGGCCACAAUGUGAGCUGCUUCCUGUUCUCCUAAACAUCAGAGGCUGAAAUUUAGAGAAAUCUGUUUAGAAGAGAAUGGGAAAACAGCCAGGCUAGCUUCAGUACAAGUGUGUUGGUGGCACCUGUAAGCAUGCAGGUGUGUGGAGGAACAGGUCCUGUUCUUGCUGUUGUUACUCCCACAUAGGCAGACUCUGUAAUUGAUUAUGUGUGGGUAGGGCCCUAUUGAAAUUCAGGAGAUUCUGCAGUAGUGCGGGGUUCUUUUUGUGAAAGUUCAGUUGCAACAUCAGGACCCUACUGUGACUCCUUACUGUGCAUUCUGUCACUGUCUCAUUGAUUGUACUGGAACCUGCCUAUUGGGAUAAUUACCAAAUACUAUAUUCCUCAAAACUUCUUAAUGGCACUGAGGCUUUGUGGAUAGUUGGUCACAUGAUGAGAAAAUUCAGCUUAAGUUGGCUGAAAGAAAGGAAAGCAGAAUUAGAUUUGGUGAUUGCAAAAAACUCCCUAAACACAGCCUUCUAGCUGAGCAUCUAGAUCAGAAGUGCCUCAGAACAGAUCUCAUUUCAGAGGAGGAAAGGAAGGAAAGUGACAUGCCGGUGAGUCGGUAUGGGGAAUCCUCUGCAUGUUUCAUCUCUAUCUGAUUUUUUCUCUCAUCACCACUGAGAGGCAGGUCACCUGGGUGUGACUGCUUCCCCUUCCUGUGAUUGCAACUUCCCAGUACUUUGAGGGAGAUAAUGUUGGGGCAUAGCUCUGUUCUGCCUGCAGCAGCGCUGCUACCAAUGUUUAGAAGAAAAGGAACUCUGAAUUGUCUCCUGAUGUAACCAGCUCUCCAAUACUCACUGCUCCUUAGCCCUGUUGUUGAGUACCUGAUCAGAUGGUCUCUUUCAUUUAACACAUGCCAUGAUGCUAUAAAUGACUGAAACCAGGACCAAAGGAAUAAAACAGAUAUCAAGAGAAGGAGAUGAUGUUUUGGAAUGGAGGGAGUGGGCAUUUGCUGCACAGCUACACUUUGUCAGCUCUUGAGAAUACCUCAAGAGCUGAAAUGCCAAACUAUAGCAACAAAGUUUCCUUCUGUGCACUGAGAAGGAAGAGCAAAGGAAUGUGCCUCAACAUUCAGCAUGUUUAUUGUAAGUUUUUUUGAUCUCUUCCCCUACUGCUGUUUGCACUCUGCUAGUAUGGUGACUGUCCUGAAUGUAGCAUGUCUUUAUUUGUAUCAAAUGAGGCACUCCUCACGUUGUAACGUCAGGAACAUUGUUUUUCUUCAACCCUUGAAAGUCAAAACAUGGUAGCAUAGAUAGCUGUAACAAGUUAUUAAUAAAAGUGACAUAAAAGAAUUUUCUUAUUUCACAGUAUUUAUAGGAAAAACAAUGUUUUGUGUGUUUCAAAUACCUCUUUUUUUCCAAUCCUAAGCAGAAUUAAUGCAUGAAAAUCUUCUUCAGCAAUACCCUCAGUUCCUUAUUUGCAGUUACAACUAUUACUCUUUUGUUAGUAGGUUUUUUAGUAUUUGGGUUGAGGCCCUCAUAAAACUUCUCUGGACCCUUUCUGAAUGACACCAUCAUGCUGUCAUUUGUUUUGUCAUAAAAUCUAGUGUAAACCUGCAUUUUAGGAAUCUUUUUUCAAUCCAUAAAGGAUGAUUAUUCUUCUCUGUCAGCAGGUUUUUCAUCGAUCAAGUCUUUAUUAGAAAAUCUUUUACUUUGUCUUGACAAAAUGCAGCCUUGCCUUGCUCAUUAGCUGUCAAAGUGCUGCUCUACUGUAAAUACCAUUUUCCAAACCUACUCCUUUGCUAUUUUCAAUUUCUUGCUUCAUUUUAAAGCAAUAAAGAUAAGCUAUCUGUCUUUAUUUUCAAGGCUCAUCAGGACUACUUCUACCUGAUACCUCUCCUUCAGUAUCAAGAGGUUGACUCUGGUUUUGAUCAACAUAUGAUGCCAACUUCCUUCAUUCAGUCAUUGAAUUUUCAGACCACACUGAAUAUUUUCUCCUCAGUUGACUCUAAUGUACUGGUUGACUUCUUCAUAAACAGAAGUGUUCACUAUCUUCCCUCUAAUAUUUUCUUGAAAGUUUUAUGCACUGUGAAGCUUUAAGGAAUCCAACUAGACAACAGUUAUACUGCAGGUAUAUUAAUGCCAAUGCCUAUCACAAUAGUACUGUCACUGCAUUUGGACUUUGCCAUAAUCCCUCUGUUGUCUCUUUACAUAGAAUUUAAGCAUAUCUAUAUUUUGUUGUGUGUUUAUUUAUGGCCCAGUGUAAUACACAGUGGCCCAUGGUGAGGCCUUCCAAGAUUUAUGGUAGUACAGAUAAAUUAUAAUGAAUAUAACUGGAUGCUGCAGCAUAGCUGUUGGAUUCUGUUGUGCCUAAUGCCACGUCAUAAUUUAAUGCAGAAAGAAGGUGCUCCAACCAGAGGCCUCACUAAAGGAAAGUAAGUGAGUUGCAACCAAUAGAAAAAAUGUUAGCCCCAGAGGCCUUCUCAGCUGUCAAACUGAAGUCUGUAGCUACUGCCAUUGUGUCCUGAAAGCAUUCCUCUCCCUCUCCCUCUCCUCCAGAUUCUCCCUUCUUGUAUAAGGAAGUAAGUGCAAAUAUCACAAUGGUCUGCAGUGUAUGCAGAAGGUCUUAUACUUUUGCAGUAAAAAGUAUUUCAUUGCUGACACGGCAUCUCUUGGUACAGAAAUCUUAAAUAACCAUAAUUGUGCCAUUCAUCAGUCCUUUUUUCAAAUGCCGUUUGAUUUCUGUUAGGAAGGAACCUACACUGGUUUUUAUUUGGUAUCUUGGUACAUCCCUAUCUCUAUAAUGCUCUGGUUGCAUUGUGCUUCAAAAAUAAUGAGCCUUCAGAGAAGUGGUAAGGAUUAAUUCAAUUGGGAAUUACCCAGGCAUGUCACCCUGUAAGUAGGUCUGCAUGUACCCCUUUCUUUUAAAGGCACCCUGAAAUGUCAGUGUUUAGAUUGUACAGAGAUGAUGGAAUGUUGAGUGCCUGGCUGAUUACAGAGAUGGUAGAUUGGACUGUGCAGUAUGUACCAAAGAAAAUGUAGUCCAAUAGUCUAUUUUUAUCAGAAUAAACCACAAAAUGUAGUUCUGUAUGGUUCUAUGGCUGAGUAGGAGAACUUUAGUAAGAGCACUGGGCUAGUUGGUGAGAUGGAGGUGAAAUUGCUGUGAAGUACUGUGGGAGCCUGAGGAGUCUGUACAACCCAAAAGCUUGAUCAUAAGCAACAGUUUAUGGUUAUAUAUAACAUACAUAACAUAACAGUUCUUGGUUAUAUAUGUAUAUAUAUACACUGGAUAAACUUAAUGUUAGGCCUCAUUAGGCCAUCAUGCACAGGCUGUCUAUUUAGAUAUCAUUGAGCACUAAUUUUUGAGCAAACAAGAUAGGGAAUCCAGGAGGAGAAAGACAGCCCUUGAUUUAGUCUAGAUCAACAUGCAACAAAUGACUGUGGAAGAACCAUUCAGUAGUGAGAUAUUAUACUCAAGUUUGUCGUACUUGCAGCAGAAAAAAAGCUUAAAAUAAAAUUUUUAAAAAGUCCAGUCUUGUUUAAAAAAAGAAUUGUAUACUAAUGAAGACAGUUUAAAUAAAUAUUGAAAAUACACAGGGGCUUUGUUUUCUAACCCGAUUAAAUAAGACUUUUCCAACACAAUUCAGCAGUAAAAGAAGCUACUAGAAAUAAAUAGAGGUUUUUAAAAAAGCAAAAUCCAAGCAAGCAAAGCAGAAUAGAGCACAAUUCUGGCAAAUGUAGACCUAGUACGAGGCAGAACAAAAAGAUUUUUAAAUGCAAUGGGCUAAAAUUCUAAAAGCCAAAUCCCAUUUUUUUCCACUGUAAACUUUGCUAGAUGAGAAGUGAGUUUAUUAGAUAGUUGUGGUUAAGGAGAAAGACAAAGCCAUUACUGAAAGAAAUUGAACUCAUUGCGCUGGCAAGGUUUAUGACAGCAUGAUAAGGGAUGUCCCCAAAUAGGAGUUAUUUUUAUAGGGAGAAGUUCAGAUUUGAACUACCUCAAUAAAAGGUUUUUAAACAAAUUGAUUGAAUACAUAUUAAUAAAUUGUCCAAUAACAUGCUGUUCAUUCAGUAGUCCUAUAAAAAUUCAGAAAUUAAAUUGGUGAGCAAACCAUGAAAUCUUUUGUGUAAUCUGAUAUAUAAAUUAGCCUUGAUAACAGAGGAAUGGAAAGUAACAAAUGUGACCCUAGUUUUGAAAAGGGUUUUAGGAAUGGUCAUGGACUAAUGGACUAAAAUGUCAGGCUACCAUGACAGACAAAAUGCCAGUGACUGUGUUUAUAGGAACAUGGAUAGGUGUAAUAGCAACCAUCAUGCCUUUUGUAUAAGUAGUUUUGUCUUAGAGUUUUGGUAGUUAUUUGAAAGAGUCAUUUCCAGAUGCACAGGAAAAAAGUGACCCAAAAGUUUUAAAAAGUUCUGUAACUGAAAACUAUUAACAAAAUGAAGUGGCGAGUCACUUAAAAUUCUUUGUGGAUUACUAAAGGGUUAGAAGAUAAGGAGCAGUAUAGAGACCAAUGGGCAGUUUUAACACUGGUUUGUACUGGCACCUUUGCUGGUCCACCUGUUCCUAAACAGUCUGGAAAAGUGCAAUUGUAAAUAUUGCAGAUGAUAAAAGGAAAAUAUUCACAGUUGGAGGCAGACCUAAUGUUGACCCUGAAGAGCUGCAGAAGAAUCUCACAGCAGGACCUGUGGUGAUCCAGGAGCUGUGGCUGUCACAGUGGCCAGAUAUCGCUGACCCCACUGUUCAGCUGAAUCCAUCAUCAGGGAGAGGCAGUGGCUGUUGGAUUACAGCAGCCAUCAGCCCAUAAACCAUGAGCUCAGCAGGCUGUGACCAGUUGUGCCACUCAGGAAGGCAGGGACUUGUAGCUGUUCUUUUUAACAGCAGGG